This 1707-nucleotide long non-coding RNA is filed under the name Lathyrus oleraceus (garden pea). RNAcentral's name for it is "Pisum sativum (pea) long non-coding RNA (PSAT_LNC034663)". Lineage: Eukaryota; Viridiplantae; Streptophyta; Magnoliopsida; Fabales; Fabaceae. The record is from RNAcentral.
UUAGCAAAGAGAAUAUUUAUUGAUCAAUAUUUUUACGUUAUAAUGUAUACACUAACACUUAAUUCCAUAUAUCACCAUAUUAAGUACACAUUUGUUCACUACACUACACCAUCAUAUACACUACAUCAUACCCUAUAUCCUAUACACCACAUACUACAUCCACGUGUGCAUCAAAUACAACAUUUCGAAAAGGACAAAAUAAAAAAGAAAAAGAAAUAUUUUAUUCUCCAGCUUCAAGCCUAGCCGAGCAUUGCCCUUAUGCCCUUGUUUCCAUAAUUUUCAUGCCAUGGUCAACCUCAUGUCCAAGCUGCCAAGAUGCCAUUCCAAGCCAAGUCACUUUCUUUCUUCAACUCCAAGCCAUUAGUCUCAUGUGUAUAAGACAAAAACAAAAAUAGUCACUUAAGGGGCCACAAAAUUUCACAAGCAUCAACCGUAAAAACACACACCAAAAACUUCAAAAUUCACACCAAAUUAAAAAUUCAAACAAACAAAAAAUUCUAUUUCACUUCAUCUAACAAACUUACUAAAAUUCAAUAUAAUCCUCUCUUCAACAUUGCAAAACUUAAUCCUAACCAUUCACUUAAGUAUCUCACACGAAUCACAUUCAAACUCUAUCAAGAUUCACCCUAGAUAAACACUAAUUUAAGCUAAUUCACUCUCAGCUUUUCCCUCCAAAUGAUAACAAACUCACACACAUUUAGUAAAUUUUCCACACGUAGAAACUACCUUAUAUAACAUAGCUAUUAUUUCAUUCAUUACCAUCCAUAUUUCACUAUUGUUACUCUAUAAAAUUUCCCCCAUUCAUCCUCACUUAGAGCUUUCAACCUAAGCUUGAUUCAGAGUUUCACAUUGAAACUCUUAACCAAGCGAGCUACCUAGCCUACGCACCACAUAAUACAACAACAACAUUCAACAAUAGCAAACACAGAGGCAUCAAUGAAAACAAGUAGAAAGUAAGGGGAGGAUGAGAAGUAAACAAGCAGAAAAAAUAACAAAAAUCAGAGAGGUACCUUUGAGGAUUUCAUCUCUCCGAGAUUAUUCAUAAUAGGUAGGCUUUCUCUUACACUAUUUAGGUGUAGUGAUUUUUUCGUUGGUGUUUCUUUGAUGCUUGACUGAAGUGGUUGUGUAUUCCUUUGUUUGCUUCGAAUUCCUAUUAUGGUGCUUGUUUCUAUCUAUUUUUAUGCUUGGAUUGAUGUUUACAUAAGGUGAUAGGUUCAUUUUUGGCCUAAUUUAGGUUUGUUUGUAAGGUAGUGUGAGGUUAGAUUUUUUAUUUAGGGAGAUUUCGAUCUAGUGUAUGGCGAGGGCUUUUGUUUGUUCGGGCAUCUUAAUUCGUUGUCAAGAGGGGAUUUAGAAAAGGUUUCAUGUUGAAGGUAUUGAGUUUUGGUGAGUUUAGGACCAGGUUAGGGUUUGGUAAAAAAGUAUAGAUCCUUGGAACUUUGUAAGUAUUUUAAGGUUUUUAAGGGUGGAUUUGAAAUCAGGAGGUUCGUUUAGGGUAUAAGGUUUUAAGUUUGUAUGGUGGUUCUUCACAGAAGAAGACGGUGGCGCCAUUGCCUUAGUCGUCUUCUCUGGGGUGCUUCGUAGCAUAGUGAGAGAAAGAGUGUAGAUGAGAAAGAAUUCAGAUAUGGAAAGGUGAUGGAGAGAGAACGAUGAAGGAGACAAAUGAGAGGGAGACUGAAUGUGUACUCUCCUAGGAAUUUUGUGUGUUUA